CUUGAUGCAGUGGCUAAUGAUGUGUUUAAGAAUGUUCCACAUGUCUGCUUAUAAUUUCUAAACCUCACACAAAAAGGUCAUGCUCGAUGCUUCAAAACAAACAGGAUGCUUGAUGAGCUGUCAUUCUCUUCAAAGAGGUUAACCAAGGUUCUCACAACUUUUUCCACCAUAUAACACACUGUAGCCCCGAAAAUUCAUG
Molecule: non-coding RNA, 199 nt
Organism: Camelina sativa (false flax)
Lineage: Eukaryota; Viridiplantae; Streptophyta; Magnoliopsida; Brassicales; Brassicaceae
Source: RefSeq, a predicted model, not a curated record